AAUUUUAAUGUCCUUGUGACAUAAACAACAGUCAACGGGACAGAAAGCGUACACUACAGACAGGCAGAGCUAAGCAUAAAAAGCAACAUCCAAUGGUGGUUAGAAAGUAGUCCAAAGUCCAACAAGCAGAUGUAAGAACAUCAAGUCUGGGACAAAGGCUAUGUAAGCACACAGGAUGUCUGUAGUUUCUCACUCCUCCAGGUCAUGGUAGUCUCAAGAGCUUGAACAAAGAAAGCAGACGGACAUCUUUAAGUUUGUGGAGAUGUUUCAUCUUUAGCCUAAGAUGCUUCUUUGGUUCUAAAAAAAGAAAAGCUCCGCUUUUCAUGUGAUCCAUCCGAGUGCUGGCACAGUGAGGAUGAAGAAGUGAUCGGAUGUGUUGACCCCGAGCAGCAAGAUAACAGCCAUGUCAGUUCUUCCUCUGCGGGUGAAAAUGCUGCGGCAGGUCUGGAGGCUGAAGGGCGUCGUGAUUCUCGUCUGCAGCCCGUUCCUCCUGCUGCCGCUCGCCGUCAGCACCACGGUGAGACGCUUCACUGACCAGUUUAACCCACCAGUUUACUGAGAGGUGACCAGUUCACUGAGCACUUUAACUAGUUUUCAUGAACAAUGACUGGUUAAAGUUACCAGUGAACCAAUGUACAGGACAAACUCAUUUUAACCUGUUAACUGACAAGUAACCAGUUAUACUUCCAACUUUACUGAGUACUAGCUGUCCUGAAUAACCAUCUCACAGAGAAGUGCUCGGGUUAGUACUAACUGGUGUAAAUAACCAGUUUAUGGCACAACAAAGAGUCAGUUUGGCAGUGCAGCCUAAAAGUCCCAAACAGAUCACCUCCAACCUACCAGUGUAACAUAAGUGAUCUAAAUAUCAAAUUUGAAGAACGAUGAUUAAAAUAAUUUAAUUACAAAAUUAUUAUUUUCUGUUUUUUUUAUUAAACUGAACACUAACCAGCUCUCCUCCAUUCUUGCUACUGCUGUAGCUUCUGCCGACUUUGCUAUUUGUGAACUAGUGCAGCAUAGUUACAGGUUUAAUGAGCACUUAUUGGUCUAAAUAUUACCAAGAACAAACUUUCAACCAAUCAGCACUCAUCUAAGUAAUCUGUUUAAAUAAUCAGUUUUCUGAAACAGUGACCAGUUCAAGUUAUUGAUUUACACUCCAGAGAACAAACCUGUUUAAUGAAGCUGUUAAUGAGAACCUGCCAGUUUAAACUGAGCAGCAACCAGUUUAAACAGCCAGUUUUCUGAGAAAUUACCAACUCCAGUUAAGAGUUUACUCAGCAGUUUAUUAACUAGUACAUCCUAAAAGUUUCAGAGCGUGUUUGAGCAACCAGUUUAGUCUAAAGAGAUCAAGUUUCCCGAACAAUGACCAGUGAAAGUCACCAGUUUAUCAGGACAGAGACGAAACUGGUUACAUUCACCUGGUUUUGAUCACUAACACAUCAAUAAGUGCUGUUUACAAGCGUUUGAGCACUAACCAGUAUGAAUGGCCAGUUUACUGAGACUGUAAUGCAGCAGUGAACCAGCCUAACUGAUGUCAUACCCGUGUGUGUUUAAAAUGACCAGUUUUCUGUAUGAUUAGUUAAAGUUAGCAGUUUAGUGAACACGUGAAUAAAUACCAACAUAAACUCAGAGUGUGAAAGAACCUCUACGAUCGGACAAUCAGCCUUGUGUCGCUGUUUCAUCAUCGUUUUCUACUUUAUUUUGAUCUCAGUUUUACACAAGCAUAGGUGUCAAACUCUGGCCC
Long non-coding RNA from Haplochromis burtoni (Burton's mouthbrooder), 1741 nucleotides. RefSeq lists it as uncharacterized. The record is from RefSeq and is a predicted model, not a curated record. The transcript has 3 exons. NCBI's taxonomy places the organism in Eukaryota, Metazoa, Chordata, Actinopteri, Cichliformes, Cichlidae.